This 419-nucleotide ribosomal RNA is filed under the name uncultured bacterium. Its description in RNAcentral is "bacterial SSU rRNA". It matches the Rfam family "Bacterial small subunit ribosomal RNA", at positions 85 to 518 of the family's 1533-position model. The record is from RNAcentral.
UUGGAAGAGAGCGGCGGACGGGUGAGUAACGCGUGGGUAACCUGCCCCUGUAACACACGGGUAACAUACCGAAAGGUAUGCUAAUACGGGAUAACAUACUUUUAUCGCAUGGUAGAAGUAUCAAAGCUCCGGCGGUACAGGAUGGACCCGCGUCUGAUUAGCUAGUUGGUAAGGUAACGGCUUACCAAGGCGACGAUCAGUAGCCGACCUGAGAGGGUGAUCGGCCACAUUGGAACUGAGACACGGUCCAAACUCCUACGGGAGGCAGCAGUGGGGAAUAUUGCACAAUGGGCGAAAGCCUGAUGCCAGCAACGCCGCGUGAGCGAUGAAGGCCUUCGGGUCGUAAAGCUCUCGUCCUCAAGGAAGAUAAUGACGGUACUUGAGGAGGAAGCCCCGGCUAACUACGUGCCAGCCGCGGC